AGGACGAACGCUGGCGGCGCGCUUAAUGCAUGCAAGUCGAACGAGGUACGGUCCUUCGGGACNUAUGCCAAGUGGCGGACGGCUGAGUAACGCGUGAGUGACCUGCCCUUAAGUGGGGGACAACACCGAGAAAUCGGUGCUAAUACCGCAUAAUCUCCACUCUUUAGCGAGAGUAGAGGAAAGGCUAUAUGCCACUUUUGGAGGGGCUCGCGUUCUAUCAGGUAGUUGGUGAGGUAACGGCUCACCAAGCCAUCGACGGAUAGCCGGAGUGAGAGCUCGAUCGGCCAGAGGGGGACUGAGACACGGCCCCCACUCCUACGGGAGGCAGCAGCAGGGAAUCUUGCACAAUGGGCGAAAGCCUGAUGCAGCGACGCCGCGUGAGGGAAGAAGGCUCUAGGGUCGUAAACCUCUUUUCUAAAGGAAGAGAAUGGACGGUACUUUAGGAAUAAGCCACGGCUAACUACGUGCCAGCAGCCGCGGUAAUACGUAGGUGGCAAGCGUUGUCCGGAAUUACUGGGCGUAAAGGGCCUGUAGGCGGCAUGGUAAGUCCGUAGUGAAAUCUCCCGGCUUAACUGGGAGCGGUCUAUGGAUACUGCCAAGCUAGAGAUCAUCAGAGGAGAGCGGAAUUCCCGGUGUAGUGGUGAAAUGCGUAGAUAUCGGGAGGAACACCAGUGGCGAAAGCGGCUCUCUGGGGUGGUUCUGACGCUGAGGGGCGAAAGCGUGGGGAGCAAACCGGAUUAGAUACCCGGGUAGUCCACGCCCUAAACGAUGAAUGCUAAGUCUCCGGGGUAUCCACCCCCUGUGGGCUGCAGUUAACGCGUUAAGCAUUCCGCCUGGGGACUACGGCCGCAAGGCUAAAACUCAAAGGAAUUGAC
This 875-nucleotide ribosomal RNA is filed under the name uncultured bacterium. RNAcentral's name for it is "bacterial SSU rRNA". It matches the Rfam family "Bacterial small subunit ribosomal RNA", at positions 26 to 914 of the family's 1533-position model. The record is from RNAcentral.